AUUGAACGCUGGCGGCAUGCCUUACACAUGCAAGUCGAACGGCAGCACGGGAGCAAUCCUGGUGGCGAGUGGCGAACGGGUGAGUAAAGUAUCGGAACGUGCCCAGUCGGGGGGGAUAACGUAGCGAAAGUUACGCUAAUACCGCAUACGAUCUAUGGAUGAAAGCGGGGGAUCGCAAGACCUCGCGCGAUUGGAGCGGCCGAUAUCAGAUUAGGUAGUUGGUGGGGUAAAGGCUCACCAAGCCGACGAUCUGUAGCGGGUCUGAGAGGACGACCAGCCACACUGGUACUGAGACACGGCACAGACUCCUGCGGGAGGCAGCAGUGGGGAAUGUUGGACAAUGGGCGAAAGCCUGAUCCAGCCAUGCCGCGUGCAGGAUGAAGGCCUUCGGGUUGUAAACUGCUUUUGUACGGAACGAAAAGGUUUGGCCUAAUAAGCUGAGCUCAUGACGGUACCGUAAGAAUAAGCACCGGCUAACUACGUGCCAGCCGCCGCCGUAA
RNAcentral lists this ribosomal RNA (500 nucleotides) under uncultured bacterium. RNAcentral's name for it is "partial 16S ribosomal RNA". It matches the Rfam family "Bacterial small subunit ribosomal RNA", at positions 29 to 523 of the family's 1533-position model. The record is from RNAcentral.